GACGAUCGCUGGCUGCGGGCUUAACACAUGCAAGUCGAGCGGUAAGUCCUUUCGGGGUACACGAGCGGCGAACGGGUGAGUAACACGUUGGUGAUCUGCCCUGCACUUCCGGAUAAGCCUGGGAAAGUGGGUCUAAUACCUAGUAUGACCUCCUAUCGCCUGGUGGGUGGUUGAAAGAUUUAUCGGUGCAGGAGGGGCCCGCGGCCGUUUAGCUUGUUGUUGGGGGCAUGGCCUACCAAGGCCACGACGGGCAGCCGACCUGAGAGGGUGACCGGCGACACUGGGACUGAGACACGGCCCAGCCUACUACGGGAGGCAGCAGUGGGGAAUAUUGCACAAUGGGCGAAAGCCUGAUGCAGCGACGGCGCGUGCGGGAUGACGGCUUUCGGGUUGUAAACCUCUUUCAGCAGGGACGAAGCGCAAGUGACGGUACCUGCAGAAGAAGCACCGGCUAACUACGUG
Molecule: ribosomal RNA, 462 nt
Filed under: uncultured bacterium
Lineage: Bacteria
Description: partial 16S ribosomal RNA
Rfam family: Bacterial small subunit ribosomal RNA
Source: RNAcentral